Molecule: long non-coding RNA, 529 nt
Filed under: Amphimedon queenslandica
Lineage: Eukaryota; Metazoa; Porifera; Demospongiae; Haplosclerida; Niphatidae
Description: uncharacterized LOC109585505, transcript variant X2
Source: RNAcentral
GUUGGAGUUUGCUCACUAGCUGUGUUAUUGUCAGUUUCCUCAAGUGGUUCCUCUGGUUCCUCCAGUGGAGCCUGGUAUUGUAUUAUGCCAUCGACAUCAGUGUCGUCAAAUCUAGUAUCAUGCCCUGCUGAAGGCAGUAUUGGUACCUGUGCACACAAUAAUCACAUAACAAGAUUGUAUGAUAAUAAUCUGUUUGGCAGAGUAUCGGUACCUGUGCGCACAAUAAUCACAUGACAAGACUGUAUAAUAUAAUCUGACAAUUACACUUGAUGAUUGCGUGUACAAUAAUCACAUCAAAAAUUUAUGCAAGACUGUUAUCAUAUUAACUGAAGUAACAGAUGAUUUAGAUUGCCUAAAAAGAAGCUGCACAAACAGUGCAAAAAUGGAUGUGGAUAUCAUAAUUGAGAACAAGAAGUAGUCUUUGCCGGAGAAGCUAGAUCUAGCUCCUUCAAUCAAGGCAUGAUAUAAGCACACAGCCAAGGAUAAAUUUAAUCUGUACUUUUGAGUUAAUACAAUUAUAUUUUACUGA